GACGAACGCUGGCGGCGUGCCUAACACAUGCAAGUAGAACGCGGAAGGCGGAGCUUGCUUCUCCGGAGGAGUUGCGAACGGGUGAGUAACGCGUAGGUAACCUGCCUGGUAGCGGGGGAUAACUAUUGGAAACGAUAGCUAAUACCGCAUAAGAGUAGAUGUCGCAUGACAUGUGCUUAAAAGGUGCAACUGCAGGACUACCAGAAGGACAUGCGUUGUAUGAGCUAGUUGGUGAGGGAACGGAUGACCAAGGAAACGAUACAUAGGAGACCUGAGAGGGUACGCGGCCACACUGGGACUGGGACACGCCCCACACCCCUACGGGUGGCACCCGUAGCGGAUCCUCGGCAAUGGCCGGAAGUCUGACCGAGCAACGCCGCGCGAGUGCCUAAUCUUUUCGGGUCGUGUAGCUCUGUUAUACGAGAGGAACGAGUAUGUGUGUGGCACGUUCACACUGUGACGGUAUCUUAACAAAAAGCUCCGGCUAACUACGUG
Molecule: ribosomal RNA, 495 nt
Filed under: uncultured bacterium
Lineage: Bacteria
Description: partial 16S ribosomal RNA
Rfam family: Bacterial small subunit ribosomal RNA
Source: RNAcentral